Molecule: ribosomal RNA, 423 nt
Filed under: uncultured prokaryote
Description: bacterial SSU rRNA
Rfam family: Bacterial small subunit ribosomal RNA
Source: RNAcentral
UCGAGGAUAUUUAGCAAUGGACGAAAGUCUGACUAUGUGACGCCGCGUGAGGGAUGAAGGUCUUCGGAUUGUAAACCUCUUUCGAUAGGGAAGAAAACCUGCUCUUAACGGAGCAGACUGACGGUACCUAGAGAAGAAGCCACGGCCAACUCUGUGCCAGCAGCCGCGGUAAUACAGAGGUGGCGAGCGUUACUCGGAUUUAUUGGGUGUAAAGGGCAAGUAGGCGUCUUAACAAGUUGGAGGUGAAAUCCUGCAGCUCAACUGCAGAACUGCUCCCAAAACUGUUGAGAUUGAGACUGGAAGAGGAAAGCGGAAUUCUCGGUGUAAGAGUGAAAUCUGUAGAUAUCGAGAGGAACACCAGUGGCGAAGGCGGCUUUCUGGUCCAGUACUGACGCUGAAUUGCGAAAGCUAGGGGAGCAAACA